UUGGAAGUAAAAAGUCGUAACAAGGUUUCCGUAGGUGAACCUGCGGAAGGAUCAUUAACGAAUAUCUAUGGCGUUGGUUGUAGCUGGCUCCUGGGAGCACUGUGCACGCCCGUCAUUCAUAUCAUCUUUCCACCUGUGAACCAUGUGUAGGCCUGGAUACCCCUCGCUUUGGCAACAAAGCGGAUGCAAGGAUUGCUGCGUCGACAAGGCCGGCUCUCUUUGAAUUUCCAGGUUCUAUGUCUUUUACACACCCCAUUUGAAUGAUUUAGAAUGUAGUCAAUGGGCUUUCAUGCCUAUAAAAAACUAUACAACUUUCAGCAACGGAUCUCUUGGCUCUCGCAUCGAUGAAGAACGCAGCGAAAUGCGAUAAGUAAUGUGAAUUGCAGAAUUCAGUGAAUCAUCGAAUCUUUGAACGCACCUUGCGCUCCUUGGUAUUCCGAGGAGCAUGCCUGUUUGAGUGUCAUUAAAUUCUCAACCUCACCAGUUUUGUAACGAGACAGGUGAAGGCUUGGAUGUGGGGGUUUUGCAGGCUGCCUCAGUGCUGGUCUGCUCCCCUGAAAUGCAUUAGCGAGCUCAUAUUGAGCUUCCGUCUAUUGGUGUGAUAAUUAUCUACGCCGUGGAUUGGACUCAUGCUUGCUUCUAACCGUCCGCAAGGACAAUUUACUUUGACCAAUUUGACCUCAAAUCAGGUAGGACUACCCGCUGAACUUAAGCAUAUCAAUAAGCGGAGGA
RNAcentral lists this ribosomal RNA (732 nucleotides) under fungal sp. BMP3018. RNAcentral's name for it is "eukaryotic LSU rRNA". The stretch from base 310 to 463 matches the Rfam family "5.8S ribosomal RNA". The record is from RNAcentral. Lineage: Eukaryota; Fungi.